RNAcentral lists this ribosomal RNA (459 nucleotides) under uncultured bacterium. RNAcentral describes it as "partial 16S ribosomal RNA". It matches the Rfam family "Bacterial small subunit ribosomal RNA", at positions 338 to 795 of the family's 1533-position model. The record is from RNAcentral.
CCUACGGGUGGCAGCAGUGAGGAAUAUUGGUCAAUGGCCGGAAGUCUGAACCAGCCAAGUCGCGUGAAGGAUGACGGUGCUACGCAUUGUAAACUUCUUUUGUCAAGGGACAAAAUCAGGCUCGUGAGCCCCAUCGAGUGUACUCCAUGAAAAAGCAUCGCCUAUCUCCGUGCCCGCAGCCGCGGUAAUACGGAGGCUGCGAGCGUUUUCCGGGUUUAGUGGGGUUAAAGGGUGGGCGGGCGGACUCUUAUGUCAGCGGUAAAAGCCCGGGGCGCAACCCCGGAGCGCCGGGGAAACUGGCGGGCUUGAGAGGGCGAAGGGUAGGCGGAAUGCGUGGUGUAGCGGUGAAAUGCUUAGAUAUUGCGCAGAACUCCGAUUGCGAAGGCAAGAUACCGGCGGGGAUCUGACGCUGAGGCACGAAAGCGUGGGUAUCGAACAGGAUUAGAUACCCGAGUAGUC